This 253-nucleotide ribosomal RNA is filed under the name uncultured bacterium. RNAcentral describes it as "partial 16S ribosomal RNA". It matches the Rfam family "Bacterial small subunit ribosomal RNA", at positions 524 to 776 of the family's 1533-position model. The record is from RNAcentral.
UACGUAGGGUGCAAGCGUUAAUCGGAAUUACUGGGCGUAAAGCGUGCGCAGGCGGCUUUGCAAGACAGAUGUGAAAUCCCCGGGCUUAACCUGGGAACUGCAUUUGUGACUGCAUGGCUGGAGUGCGGCAGAGGGGGAUGGAAUUCCCGGUGUAGCAGUGAAAUGCGUAGAUAUCGGGAGGAAUACCGAUGGCGAAGGCAGGUCUCUGGGCUGACACUGACGCUCAUGCACGAAAGCGUGGGGAGCAAACAGG